UUUCGGCUCGAACGUGAUAUGAGGAGGAGAAAAUAUUUUGUUAUGUAGGCAUCAAAACGUAAAUAUCGCAGUUUUGUACUUUGGAAAAUGAGCACUUUGAACUUGACGUCGAAGUUUCUUCGCAAAGAUAUGGCGAGGAAAACAAGAAAACUUGCGUGUAUCAAAUGCGGUAAAUAUCAACCGCCACUUCGAUUGACCCUCGUUUGCUUCGUUUGAAAGAGAAAUGUGGUUUGGGGGACAUUGACAGCAUCACGAAAGUUUACAAAAGUGCCGCCAGAGACAUCUUACUAGACUGAUGUACCAUGGGUUUACAGAAUUCUGUCAGUCCUUCCUUCAAAAGUUUCCAGGAUACUACAUUUGGCCUCUACACUUAAAUGGCAGUGCUCUGGAAACCAUCUUCAGCCAGCUAAAGAUCAACAUGAAUGGUCACUUAACUUUAGUUAACUAUGCCCCUGCUCUCACAACAUUGAAGUUUAAACGACAAAUGCAUGGUCGGAGAGGAAAGUAUGUUUACAGGAGGACCCCCCUCUUUCUAAGAGAACUCUGUCUCAAGAGAUGCAGAUGUUGAGAAAUUUGAACUUAACUGUCUGGUCUCUACAAAUGGCUGAUUGCAACAGUUCAAUAUUUUGGGACACCUUGAUGCAUAGUUCUACAACAGUAGAUUUCCAAAACAUAAGUAGUCACAUCAUGCCUUUGUUCGACAUUUUACCUCUCUUUGUAAUUUAAUGUAUCAGUGAAGUCAAAUUUAGUCCAGUUCAGCUCUGCCCAUAUACAACAAGUCCUGUUGUGCAUUGUACUGCAUUUGUAUAUACAGUGGAACCCCGCCUAACAGUCACCACGCUAAUAUGGUCACCUUGUUAUUAUGGCCACUUUAUUUUGUCCUGGCGAAAGGCCUACACAUUUUCUUAUAAGGAAGUUCUGUUAAUGUGACUACCCUGUUAACAUGGUCAACGGCCAAACCUGUAUAAUCCUUUAUAAUUUAACCCCAUAUAUAUAGCCACUCAAACCAGUUAUGGUCAUCUUUCUAUUGUUAAUAUGUUAUACACUGAUUCAAGUUUCAGUUUUUUAAAAAUUAUAUCUGCAUUCCAGAUGGUAUUAAAGAGUAGUUGUUUAGAAGUGCAAUCAUGCUAUAUUUGUUAAGAUUUUCAUGGACCAAAAUUUUGUUGGACCAUUUGUGACUGUAUUAAUAGGGUUCCAUUGUAAUAAAUAAUUAUUCUCAUCAAUCAUGUUACACGGGCUUUACCUUGGGUGAAGCUGCAUAGCUAUCUGGAUAUAGAGGAACUUGCUACUUCGCUUUUUACAUGAAAUCCUAACUGUUGUUGCCACAGGCAUCACUUUUCAAAAUUCUCUGACUUUUCCCUGACUUUUCCAUGACUUCCCUGAUAAAAAUAAGAUCUCCCUGACCAAUAAAAACAUCAGAUCUUGUAG
This is a long non-coding RNA of Orbicella faveolata, 1428 nucleotides long. The record is from RefSeq and is a predicted model, not a curated record. NCBI's taxonomy places the organism in Eukaryota, Metazoa, Cnidaria, Anthozoa, Scleractinia, Merulinidae.